Molecule: ribosomal RNA, 646 nt
Filed under: uncultured beta proteobacterium
Lineage: Bacteria; Pseudomonadati; Pseudomonadota; Betaproteobacteria
Description: bacterial SSU rRNA
Rfam family: Bacterial small subunit ribosomal RNA
Source: RNAcentral
UUCGGAUGCUGACGAGUGGCGAACGGGUGAGUAAUACAUCGGAACGUGCCUAGUAGUGGGGGAUAACUACUCGAAAGAGUAGCUAAUACCGCAUGAGAUCUACGGAUGAAAGCAGGGGACCUUCGGGCCUUGUGCUACUAGAGCGGCUGAUGGCAGAUUAGGUAGUUGGUGGGGUAAAGGCUUACCAAGCCUGCGAUCUGUAGCUGGUCUGAGAGGACGACCAGCCACACUGGGACUGAGACACGGCCCAGACUCCUACGGGAGGCAGCAGUGGGGAAUUUUGGACAAUGGGCGAAAGCCUGAUCCAGCAAUGCCGCGUGCAGGAUGAAGGCCCUCGGGUUGUAAACUGCUUUUGUACGGAACGAAAAGCCUGGGGCUAAUAUCCCCGGGUCAUGACGGUACCGUAAGAAUAAGCACCGGCUAACUACGUGCCAGCAGCCGCGGUAAUACGUAGGGUGCAAGCGUUAAUCGGAAUUACUGGGCGUAAAGCGUGCGCAGGCGGUUUUGUAAGACAGUGGUGAAAUCCCCGGGCUCAACCUGGGAACUGCCAUUGUGACUGCAAGGCUAGAGUGCGGCAGAGGGGGAUGGAAUUCCGCGUGUAGCAGUGAAAUGCGUAGAUAUGCGGAGGAACACCGAUGGCGAAGGC